This 73-nucleotide transfer RNA is filed under the name Candidatus Shapirobacteria bacterium CG2_30_35_20. RNAcentral's name for it is "tRNA-Val". It matches the Rfam family "tRNA". Rfam says of the family: Transfer RNA (tRNA) molecules are approximately 80 nucleotides in length. The record is from RNAcentral. RNAcentral also lists the same sequence under 3 other names. Lineage: Bacteria; Candidatus Shapironibacteriota.
GGCCACUUAGCUCAGCUGGUAGAGCAUCCCGUUUACAUCGGGGCGGUCAGGGGUUCAAAUCCCUUAGUGGCCA